GAGCGCCAAGACGAACAGAUUGUGCUGCAGAGGGUGUUUAGGAAGGGCCAUUAAGACAACUUAAGUUAUCGAAAGGCUGUGACAGGAGAUUCGUGAUGCGUGACAGGAAUAGGCUUAGGUGGUGGAAGGACAAAGAAAGGAAGUUGGGUCCAAAGUCAAGUAAAGAUAGCAGAAGGGCGGAUUCUGUGCUUGGGGUAUCUGGAAGAGUCUGAAACUCAGGGAAAUGGGAUAUAGUGCUCACAGGCCACUUUUCUUUGGGGCUGAAAGGACUGGGCCUACAGGACGUCUGCAUCAGAAGUCCCCUUUCCCAGCAGGUGCUGUGUGGGUUCCAGCUCAUGGGGAGGGCUGGGUGUGGCCAGCGGGGGGGGGGGGUGGGCAUCACAUGCAAGAGAGUGAGCAUGGAGAAGGCUCACUGUAGACCGGGAGCUGGGGAGGUGUGGUCCACAGGGGAGGCCCAGAGGUCAGAGGACAAGGUCUGGACAUUCUGGAUAUUAGCUCCAGAGGGCCCAGUUGGGGUCUUAUUGAGACCAUAAACCAGGAGGAUGCACGCAGGUUUUUGAGGCAUGAGAACUAGUGUUCGAUGCUUCCAGGGCCGCCCAGCAUCUCUUUGCCCUGCUUCUGACACAGCCUCCUGCCCUGGCACACACUGCAGCACAGGGGGGCACCCUGGGUAGACAGCUGCACAGCAAGGAUGUGGAUCCGGGUUACUGCAUAAUCUUCUUUUCCUGAGAGAGGACAGCAUUCAUAGUGACUCAAGCUUGGAAACUAAGGAAUGCCAGAGUAUUAGAGAUGCAGGUGCAUCAUCGGAGAUGGAGGUUCAUCAUCGGAGAGGGAGGUGCAUCAUCGGAGGUGCAGGUGCAUCAUCGGAGAGGGAGGUGCAUCAUCGGAGGUGCAGGUGCAUCAUCAGAGGUGCAGGUGCAUCAUCGGAGGUGCAGGUGCAUCAUCGGAGAGGGAGGUGCAUCAUCGGAGGUGCAGGCGCAUCAGGGACACGCGUCGUGAGCAGCUCUUGUGAGCCAAGGGUCACGUGAGGGUGCGGGACAGGGCAUACAAAUGAGGCCCCCCCUGGUCCCAGGACAGCACCCGGGCGGGGCAGAGGCACCCACCGCAUGGCCGACAGAGGCACUCAGGACCAAACCUCACAUUUUAAAGUAUUCCCCCCAAGAAAGGUCCCGCCUUGGGUGUGUGGCAGGGCAGCAGAAGGCGAUAAGCACCAAGGAGACACAAAUGACUAAGAAGGUAUUGCGUGGUGGCUGCGGGGAAGUAGGAGGAGAAACCCACGGUGGGGAUGCCAGCUGGUGAUGGCGCUGCUGGGAGGCACUUUUUCUUCUCUGAGAAGCCCGUUAAACCGCAGGGACUGGAGAGCUCUCCCAGCUUACUUCAUGGGGCUGAGAGGAGCUUGACAAGUACCCUGAGAUGCUUGGUAAGGAAGGCUUCCUGCAGUGGUUGAGGUAGUCACCGUCUUGGGCCAGAAGCAUACACCUCACCGUAUAAACCAGGACUGAAGAGCUCCUAGGACUUUAAAGGUCUGAUUUUGAUCAUGGAACGUCAGUCUUAGAAGUAAGAAAAAAAUAUCCUACCUCUGGCAUUACUUACAGCCUUGGAGAAGGCACCUGACCUCUUUUUUAUUUACCAUGUCUAUAAGAAGUUGGAUUUGGAAAGGUUCAAGCUGACGCCUUUCCAAAGGAGAUGCUCACCAAAUGUUUGUGAAAGAACAAGAUGAAAGACGACCGUGUGACUUGAUGUCAUUUCCCAGAAAAAAACAGACAACAUGGCCAAAUGGCACGCUAUGGUCCAAUGCCAUUUGGACUAAUGAUUUAUUCCUUUAACUUCUUUUUUAAGAAAGUAAAAUAAACCCCCAAACAGCA
Molecule: long non-coding RNA, 1865 nt
Organism: Canis lupus familiaris (dog)
Lineage: Eukaryota; Metazoa; Chordata; Mammalia; Carnivora; Canidae
Exons: 6
Source: RefSeq, a predicted model, not a curated record